This 495-nucleotide ribosomal RNA is filed under the name uncultured bacterium. RNAcentral describes it as "partial 16S ribosomal RNA". It matches the Rfam family "Bacterial small subunit ribosomal RNA", at positions 28 to 507 of the family's 1533-position model. The record is from RNAcentral.
GAUGAACGCUGGCGGCGUGCCUAAUACAUGCAAGUAGAACGCUGAAGGAGGAGCUUGCUCUUCUGGAUGAGUUGCGAACGGGUGAGUAACGCGUAGGUAACCUGCCUGGUAGCGGGGGAUAACUAUUGGAAACGAUAGCUAAUACCGCAUGACAACAGUUAUUGCAUGAUAACUGUUUAAAAGGGGCAACUGCUCCACUACCAGAUGGACCUGCGUUGUAUUAGCUAGUUGGUGAGGUAACGGCUCACCAAGGCGACGAUACAUAGCCGACCGGAGAGGGGGAUCGGCCAGCCUGGGACUGAGACACGGCCCAGACUCCUACGGGAGGCAGCAGUAGGGAAUCUUCGGCAAUGGACGGAAGUCUGACCGAGCAACGCCGCGUGAGGGAAGAAGGUUUUCGGAUCGUAAAGCUCUGUUGUAAGAGAAGAACGAGUGUGAGAGUGGAAAGUUCACACUGUGACGGUAUCUUACCAGAAAGAGACGGCUAACUACGUG